GUCUCUCUUGAGUGGAUCCUGAGUACGGCGGAGCACGUGAAAUUCCGUCGGAAUCUGGGAGGACCAUCUCCUAAGGCUAAAUACUCUCUAGUGACCGAUAGUGAACCAGUACCGUGAGGGAAAGGUGAAAAGCACCCCGGAAGGGGAGUGAAAUAGAACCUGAAACCGUGUGCUUACAAGUAGUCAGAGCCCGUUAAUGGGUGAUGGCGUGCCUUUUGUAGAAUGAACCGGCGAGUUACGAUUUGAUGCAAGGUUAAGCAGUAAAUGUGGAGCCGUAGCGAAAGCGAGUCUGAAUAGGGCGUUUAGUAUUUGGUCGUAGACCCGAAACCAGGUGAUCUACCCUUGGUCAGGUUGAAGUUCAGGUAACACUGAAUGGAGGACCGAACCGACUUACGUUGAAAAGUGAGCGGAUGAACUGAGGGUAGCGGAGAAAUUCCAAUCGAACCUGGAGAUAGCUGGUUCUCUCCGAAAUAGCUUUAGGGCUAGCCUCAAGUGAUGAUUAUUGGAGGUAGAGCACUGUUUGGACGAGGGGCCCCUCUCGGGUUACCGAAUUCAGACAAACUCCGAAUGCCAAUUAAUUUAACUUGGGAGUCAGAACAUGGGUGAUAAGGUCCGUGUUCGAAAGGGAAACAGCCCAGACCACCAGCUAAGGUCCCAAAAUAUAUGUUAAGUGGAAAAGGAUGUGGCGUUGCCCAGACAACUAGGAUGUUGGCUUAGAAGCAGCCAUCAUUUAAAGAGUGCGUAAUAGCUCACUAGUCGAGUGACACUGCGCCGAAAAUGUACCGGGGCUAAACAUAUUACCGAAGCUGUGGAUUGUCCUUUGGACAAUGGUAGGAGAGCGUUCUAAGGGCGUUGAAGCAUGAUCGUAAGGACAUGUGGAGCGCUUAGAAGUGAGAAUGCCGGUGUGAGUAGCGAAAGACGGGUGAGAAUCCCGUCCACCGAUUGACUAAGGUUUCCAGAGGAAGGCUCGUCCGCUCUGGGUUAGUCGGGUCCUAAGCUGAGGCCGACAGGCGUAGGCGAUGGAUAACAGGUUGAUAUUCCUGUACCACCUAUAAUCGUUUUAAUCGAUGGGGGGACGCAGUAGGAUAGGCGAAGCGUGCGAUUGGAUUGCACGUCUAAGCAGUAAGGCUGAGUAUUAGGCAAAUCCGGUACUCGUUAAGGCUGAGCUGUGAUGGGGAGAAGACAUUGUGUCUUCGAGUCGUUGAUUUCACACUGCCGAGAAAAGCCUCUAGAUAGAAAAUAGGUGCCCGUACCGCAAACCGACACAGGUAGUCAAGAUGAGAAUUCUAAGGUGAGCGAGCGAACUCUCGUUAAGGAACUCGGCAAAAUGACCCCGUAACUUCGGGAGAAGGGGUGCUCUUUAGGGUUAACGCCCAGAAGAGCCGCAGUGAAUAGGCCCAAGCGACUGUUUAUCAAAAACACAGGUCUCUGCUAAACCGUAAGGUGAUGUAUAGGGGCUGACGCCUGCCCGGUGCUGGAAGGUUAAGAGGAGUGGUUAGCUUCUGCGAAGCUACGAAUCGAAGCCCCAGUAAACGGCGGCCGUAACUAUAACGGUCCUAAGGUAGCGAAAUUCCUUGUCGGGUAAGUUCCGACCCGCACGAAAGGCGUAACGAUUUGGGCACUGUCUCAACGAGAGACUCGGUGAAAUCAUAGUACCUGUGAAGAUGCAGGUUACCCGCGACAGGACGGAAAGACCCCGUGGAGCUUUACUGUAGCCUGAUAUUGAAAUUCGGCACAGCUUGUACAGGAUAGGUAGGAGCCUUUGAAACGUGAGCGCUAGCUUACGUGGAGGCGCUGGUGGGAUACUACCCUAGCUGUGUUGGCUUUCUAACCCGCACCACUUAUCGUGGUGGGAGACAGUGUCAGGCGGGCAGUUUGACUGGGGCGGUCGCCUCCUAAAAGGUAACGGAGGCGCUCAAAGGUUCCCUCAGAAUGGUUGGAAAUCAUUCAUAGAGUGUAAAGGCAUAAGGGAGCUUGACUGCGAGACCUACAAGUCGAGCAGGGUCGAAAGACGGACUUAGUGAUCCGGUGGUUCCGCAUGGAAGGGCCAUCGCUCAACGGAUAAAAGCUACCCCGGGGAUAACAGGCUUAUCUCCCCCAAGAGUUCACAUCGACGGGGAGGUUUGGCACCUCGAUGUCGGCUCAUCGCAUCCUGGGGCUGUAGUCGGUCCCAAGGGUUGGGCUGUUCGCCCAUUAAAGCGGUACGCGAGCUGGGUUCAGAACGUCGUGAGACAGUUCGGUCCCUAUCCGUCGUGGGCGUAGGAAAUUUGAGAGGAGCUGUCCUUAGUACGAGAGGACCGGGAUGGACAUACCUCUGGUGUACCAGUUGUCGUGCCAACGGCAUAGCUGGGUAGCUAUGUGUGGACGGGAUAAGUGCUGAAAGCAUCUAAGCAUGAAGCCCCCCUCAAGAUGAGAUUUCCCAACUUCGGUUAUAAGAUCCCUCAAAGAUGAUGAGGUUAAUAGGUUCGAGGUGGAAGCAUGGUGACAUGUGGAGCUGACGAAUACUAAUCGAUCGAA
RNAcentral lists this ribosomal RNA (2517 nucleotides) under Staphylococcus aureus. RNAcentral describes it as "partial 23S ribosomal RNA". It matches the Rfam family "Bacterial large subunit ribosomal RNA", at positions 390 to 2913 of the family's 2925-position model. Lineage: Bacteria; Bacillati; Bacillota; Bacilli; Caryophanales; Staphylococcaceae. The record is from RNAcentral.